Molecule: ribosomal RNA, 485 nt
Filed under: uncultured bacterium
Lineage: Bacteria
Description: bacterial SSU rRNA
Rfam family: Bacterial small subunit ribosomal RNA
Source: RNAcentral
AUUGAACGCUGGCGGCAGGCCUAACACAUGCAAGUCGAGCGGAUGAGUGGAGCUUGCUCCAUGAUUCAGCGGCGGACGGGUGAGUAAUGCCUAGGAAUCUGCCUAGUGGUGGGGGAUAACGUUCGGAAACGGACGCUAAUACCGCAUACGUCCUACGGGAGAAAGCGGGGGGAUCUUCGGACCUCGCGCCAUUAGAUGAGCCUAGGUCGGAUUAGCUAGUUGGUGAGGUAAUGGCUCACCAAGGCGACGAUCCGUAACUGGUCUGAGAGGAUGAUCAGUCACACUGGAACUGAGACACGGUCCAGACUCCUACGGGAGGCAGCAGUGGGGAAUAUUGGACAAUGGGCGAAAGCCUGAUCCAGCCAUGCCGCGUGUGUGAAGAAGGUCUUCGGAUUGUAAAGCACUUUAAGUUGGGAGGAAGGGUAGUAACCUAAUACGUUGCUACUUUGACGUUACCGACAGAAUAAGCACCGGCUAACUUCGUG